RNAcentral lists this long non-coding RNA (1007 nucleotides) under Equus asinus (donkey). RNAcentral's name for it is "lncRNA (ENSEASG00005037333.1)". Lineage: Eukaryota; Metazoa; Chordata; Mammalia; Perissodactyla; Equidae. The record is from RNAcentral.
AAAGUACUAGCCAACAAGGACAACUUCUGGCUCCUUCCUUUGGAUCUUAACGGUUCUUCACGCCUGAAUUAAACACAACAAUUUAGUUCGGCAAACAUCUUUUAGGCGGCUGCAGUAUUAGCUGUCUGGGGUACAAGAGUGACGCCCUUCCCUUGCUCUCGAGAUCGCGGUGGAGAUAAAGGGAGAAUUAAAAAACGGAACGUGCAGGAUAAGUUGGAAGCCCUCGGUCAUUUUUAAGCCCGACCAGAGGGGACGGCGACAGCGCAGGACAGCUGCCUUGCUGGAUUCCCCGAACCAACCGUGUGUGCAGCUGCCGGCCAGCCGAGCUGCUCUUGCCAGCAGGGCUAUAAAUAAGGCCCAUCCAGAGCACAGGAGAUAAGAACCCAGUCCCUGGCUCCCGCGAGCCUUUUAAGGUAUCCAAAUUAAAGGCGCCUCAGCCCCCAGAUGGGAAGGGGCUGCCAGCUCUCCAUCUGGCCUGCCCGCCUCAAGGACAUCCCAGGGCUCGCACAGAUUCCAGCCGUCCAAGAGCAGAGGAAGGGGGAAGCCACAGCGCCAGGAAGGGAUCUCUCGGUGUCAGACAAGCGGCAGAGCUCUGGCGGGCUGCUGGCAGCUCCACUGCUGUGAGCCCCUAGAUUAGGUGGCUGGCCCUGAGGCAUGGAACAGGAGGAAACUUCCCCCAGGCCACACCGUGCACUGGUGUGUGGCCUGGUGGCAUCGUAUGGAUUUUCAGCACUGCCUCUUGGGAAUUGCAUGCUGACCUUCUCCCCUGGCUUCGGGGGCAUUUACUUGGAUGAAAAAGAUCCUAGGGAAGACCAAGGGAUCAGCUUCGUAAACACUGGGCGUAUGGGAAGUUACAAGUGGAAUAAUUCACAGGAAGUCCUCUUUACCUCACUCUCCCUGCUCAUGCACGAUUAUGAGGGUUUCUCAAGCCACAAAUUAUUUUUUCUAUAGAAUUAAAACAGAGAAAUCUUACAAGAGCCUUUUUAAACCAUACGCUGGAAGAGGAG